GCCAUUCGGGGUACACGAGCGGCGAACGGGUGAGUAACACGUGGGUGACCUGCCCUCAGCUUCGGGAUAAGCCUGGGAAACUGGGUCUAAUACCGGAUAGGACCUUCCACUGCAUGGUGGUUGGUGGAAAGUUUUUUCGGCUGGGGAUGGGCCCGCGGCCUAUCAGCUUGUUGGUGGGGUGAUGGCCUACCAAGGCGGUGACGGGUAGCCGGCCUGAGAGGGCGACCGGCCACACUGGGACUGAGACACGGCCCAGACUCCUACGGGAGGCAGCAGUGGGGAAUAUUGCGCAAUGGGCGGAAGCCUGACGCANCGACGCCGCGUGGGGGAUGACGGCCUUCGGGUUGUAAACCUCUUUCGCCAGGGACGAAGCUUUUGUGACGGUACCUGGAGA
RNAcentral lists this ribosomal RNA (394 nucleotides) under Pseudonocardia sp. CC031208-10-B. RNAcentral describes it as "bacterial SSU rRNA". It matches the Rfam family "Bacterial small subunit ribosomal RNA", at positions 76 to 485 of the family's 1533-position model. Lineage: Bacteria; Bacillati; Actinomycetota; Actinomycetes; Pseudonocardiales; Pseudonocardiaceae. The record is from RNAcentral.